GUCGGGAAUCUUGGGCAAUGGGCGCAAGCCUGACCCAGCGACGCCGCGUGAGGGAUGAAGGCCUUCGGGUCGUAAACCUCUGUCGGGAGGGAAGAACGUCAGCGAGGUGAAUAAUCUCGUUGGUUGACGGUACCUCCAAAGGAAGCGCCGGCUAACUCCGUGCCAGCAGCCGCGGUAAUACGGAGGGCGCAAGCGUUGUUCGGAAUCACUGGGCGUAAAGCGCGUGUAGGCGGCCGGGCAAGUCGGAUGUGAAAUCCCGAGGCUCAACCUCGGAACUGCACUCGAAACUGCUCGGCUAGAGUCCCGGAGAGGAUGGCGGAAUUCCCGGUGUAGGGGUGAAAUCCGUAGAUAUCGGGAGGAACACCAGCGGCGAAGGCGGCCAUCUGGACGGUGACUGACGCUGAGACGCGAAAGCGUGGGGAGCAAACAGGAUUAGAAACCCCGGUAGUCC
This 451-nucleotide ribosomal RNA is filed under the name uncultured bacterium. RNAcentral describes it as "bacterial SSU rRNA". It matches the Rfam family "Bacterial small subunit ribosomal RNA", at positions 354 to 796 of the family's 1533-position model. The record is from RNAcentral.